GAGUUUGCUCAGAUUCAGGUCCAUUGAGUUGGUGAUGUUAUCUAACCAUAGCUUCCCAAAACAUUUAGUGGGAAACCUGGCCAGAGAGCUGGUCUUGGCUUGGGCGGGGCUGGAGCCAAGAGCCCAGAGCUGGGGGAUCCAGACUGAUGCCAGAUCCUUCCCCAGAAGCAGUCCCUGCUGCCUGGGAGACUGGAAGGUCUGAGUCCCAGGGGUAUGGAGCUAACAGGAAAAGGAUGUUCCAGCCCAAGUCCUAGCUGCCCAGGACCCACCCUCCUUCCUCGAGUUCAGCCCCAGGGUGCCUGUGCUUUGACCUGCUUCUGCAGACAGUGCCUGUGAAGAUAAAAGGGAACCUGCACAUCAAGGGAAGAAUUUCCAACCAGAGUCCCCUCUGUAACCAGGGUAGAGCCUUGGGAGGCAACAGGAAAGAAACCCUAAGGCUGGACCUGCCAGCCAUCUGUGCAGAGGAGUUGGGCCAGCAAACACCCAGAAGGACCAGAUGCUGGCCUGCGGGGACCUCUCCAGACUGUGGCUCCUGAGCUGGCACCCUUCUGGUUCAGGGCUCCUCAGCCCCAGCACAGUGCCUGAUGUUUAGCACAGUUCACUCAGUAAUUGACAAGGCCUGAAAUUCACAUUUUUAGUCCAACACCAUUUUCUAUGAGUCAUGUGAAAAAUGUUGAUGGAGGUCCAGAGAUAACAAAAUAAGAGACAAUCAGGGUGAAUAAGUCCUCAGACCACGGAAUUUAGUGAAGGACAGGGAAGGCUGGCGUGCUGCAGUCCACGGGGUCACAAAGAAUCAGACA
Molecule: long non-coding RNA, 800 nt
Organism: Bubalus bubalis (water buffalo)
Lineage: Eukaryota; Metazoa; Chordata; Mammalia; Artiodactyla; Bovidae
Exons: 4
Source: RefSeq, a predicted model, not a curated record